RNAcentral lists this ribosomal RNA (164 nucleotides) under uncultured bacterium. RNAcentral's name for it is "partial 16S ribosomal RNA". It matches the Rfam family "Bacterial small subunit ribosomal RNA", at positions 355 to 511 of the family's 1533-position model. The record is from RNAcentral.
UAGGGAAUCUUCCACAAUGGGGCGAAAGCCUGAUGGAGCAACGCCGCGUGUGUGAUGAAGGGUUUCGGCUCGUAAAACACUGUUGUAAGAGAAGAAUGACAUUGAGAGUAACUGUUCAAUGUGUGACGGUAUCUUACCAGAAAGGACGGCUAAAUACGUGCUAG